RNAcentral lists this ribosomal RNA (253 nucleotides) under uncultured bacterium. RNAcentral describes it as "partial 16S ribosomal RNA". It matches the Rfam family "Bacterial small subunit ribosomal RNA", at positions 524 to 776 of the family's 1533-position model. The record is from RNAcentral.
UACAGAGGUCUCAAGCGUUGUUCGGAUUCAUUGGGCGUAAAGGGUGCGUAGGUGGCGCGCUAAGUCAGGCGUGAAAUUUCGGAGCUUAACUCCGAAACUGCAUUUGAUACUGGUGUGCUUGAGGACUGGAGAGGAGACUGGAAUUCAUGGUGUAGCAGUGAAAUGCGUAGAUAUUGGGAAGAACACCGGUGGCGAAGGCGGCGACCUGGUCCGUGACUGACGCUGAGGCGCGAAAGCGUGGGGAGCAAACAGG